AUGAACGCUAGCGGCAGGCCUAACACAUGCAAGUCGAGGGGCAGCACAGGUAGCAAUACUGGGUGGCGACCGGCGGAUGGGUGCGUAACGCGUAUGCAACCUACCAUUGAUUGGGGCAUAGCCCGAAGAAAUUCGGAUUAAUACUCCAUAAUAUUCAUCAAAGGCAUCUUUUAUGAAUUAAAGCUUUUGCGAUCAAUGAUGGGCAUGCGUGACAUUAGUUAGUUGGCGAGGUAACGGCUCACCAAAACGAUGAUGUCUAGGGGUUCUGAGAGGAUUAUCCCCCACACUGGUACUGAGACACGGACCAGACUCCUACGGGAGGCAGCAGUGAGGAAUAUUGGUCAAUGGACGCAAGUCUGAACCAGCCAUGCCGCGUGCAGGAUGACGGCCCUAUGGGUUGUAAACUGCUUUUCCACGGGAAGAACCCUCCGACGUGUCGGAGACUGACGGUACCGUGGGAAUAAGCAUCGGCUAACUCCGUG
This 482-nucleotide ribosomal RNA is filed under the name uncultured bacterium. RNAcentral describes it as "bacterial SSU rRNA". It matches the Rfam family "Bacterial small subunit ribosomal RNA", at positions 29 to 507 of the family's 1533-position model. The record is from RNAcentral.